AGAGGCAGCUGAUGAAUAUUCUGUCACAUCAUCAUUAUUCUAAAUGCCUCUCUUAUUCAUGCCACAUUGUUUUCGGCCCUACACAAUCCUGCUGUCCCUUGUGCUGUUAUGGGAUGGAAUAUGAGUGCUGUUGUAACCAUGGCCCUGAAUAAAGCUACCAGCAGCAUCCUGGACUGCACUGAGGGACACACCAGGUUAAUUGGUGGGCCCAAAUCUGCUGAAAAUCUCUCCAAAUGGCACCAAACCUCUCCAAAUUGGAAUAUUGCGUAUAUCUUUUUUCCCCAGCCAUAUUCCACUUCCAGAUGCUUAUUCCAUUGAGUGUGGUACCCUCUA
This is a long non-coding RNA of Anguilla anguilla (European eel), 333 nucleotides long. RefSeq lists it as uncharacterized. The transcript has 3 exons. The record is from RefSeq and is a predicted model, not a curated record. NCBI's taxonomy places the organism in Eukaryota, Metazoa, Chordata, Actinopteri, Anguilliformes, Anguillidae.